This is a long non-coding RNA of Myotis davidii, 780 nucleotides long. RefSeq lists it as uncharacterized. The transcript has 2 exons. Lineage: Eukaryota; Metazoa; Chordata; Mammalia; Chiroptera; Vespertilionidae. The record is from RefSeq and is a predicted model, not a curated record.
CUCUCUGCUCCUCCUGGAGAGGCAGGGGGAACAGACCCCAAGGGGCUGGGCAGGACGAUUCGAAGACAUGGGCUGGGUCCUGGGGCCUUCCGCGGCUGCACUCCACCCUCCGUCAUCCUCGUCGCCGGCGCGAAAACAGACCCACCUGCUGCAUCCAGUGGUCAAAUAAUGUAACGUGUGCUCGGCCCCAGCAGAAGCCAGUUGCCAUGGGCUGGCUGGCGGGAAUGUUACCCGCAUGGGGCAUUUCAUUCAAUGGUCACGAAUUUUGGCUUCACAGGUGUCGCUUGGUAUUUUGCAACCCGUGUAUUUUUUUUGUGCCCCCUCCUUCAGGUCCUUAGGCGUAUGGGCCCUGGAAAAGCUUACAAGCAUUUGGUCCCUCCUCCUGUGGUGUCCGAUGAAGAAAAAGCGACUGUGUGACCUUCGACCUUCAGUCUUAUCAUCCUUUGAUCCCAACUGGACCUCACGUCUUCUGUCUCCUGACCCCGAAUUCCUUGUCUCCACCUUACGCUCCAACUUCAGUUCUGCUUCCUCUAAAUCACUGGUCUCUAUUCCAAGGUGACCUCUGAUCCUAGGUUAUUUGAACCCUGACUCCACGACCCCUAGCCACUGCCUCCACACUCGAAACUCUAUGGCUUCCAAUCCCAGAUCCAUGACCCCUAAUCUCCAUCCUGAGACUGUGGCCAGCUGCUGCAACAAGUGGGUCUCAUGGCCUCAACUCUUCAAUGACGUUGACCAACCCCUGAUCCUAUCCUAUAUAAUAAAAGCCUAAUAUGCUAAGUG